Molecule: ribosomal RNA, 468 nt
Filed under: uncultured bacterium
Lineage: Bacteria
Description: partial 16S ribosomal RNA
Rfam family: Bacterial small subunit ribosomal RNA
Source: RNAcentral
GACGAACGCUGGCGGCGUGCUUAACACAUGCAAGUCGAACGGAAAGGCCCUGCUUUUGUGGGGUGCUCGAGUGGCGAACGGGUGAGUAACAUGUGAGUAACCUGCCCUUGACUUUGGGAUCACUUCAGGAAACUGGGGCUAAUACCGGAUCGGAGCUCCUGCUGCAUGGUGGGGGCUGGACAGUUUAGGCGGUUGGGGAUGGACUCGCGGCUUAUCAGCUUGUUGGUGGGGUAGUGGCUUACCCAGGCUUUGACGGGUAGCCGGCCUGAGAGGGUGACCGGCCACAUUGGGACUGAGAUACGGCCCAGACUCCUACGGGAGGCAGCAGUGGGGAAUAUUGCACAAUGGGCGGAAGCCGGAGGCAGCAACGCCGCGUGCGGGAUGACGGCCUUCGGGUUGUAAACCGCUUUCGCCUGUGACGAAGCGUGAGUGACGGUAAUGGGUAAAGAAGCACCGGCUAACUACGUG